AUGUGAGCCAACACACCAGGCCCAGGCUGGGUAAUUUAUAAAGAAAUUUACUUCUGCCCGCCCCGCCCUGCCUCCCCGCCGAGUGGCUGAGGCGUAGCGCUGCGAUCCCCGCACCCCUGGGAACAUGGCGCUGCGAGUGGUGCAGAGCGUGCCGGCCGUGCUGUGCAGCCUGCACGCGGUCCUGGCACCUGCCGCGCCCUGCCCGUGGAGGCCCUGGCAGCUUGGGAUGGGCGCCGUCCGGUCGCUGCGCAUGGGACCCGCUCUUCUCUGGGGAAGCGUUGGGAGAUGUUUACUGUAGUCUGCCUGAAGUUGGGACAAAAUUGAACAAACAAGGUGAGUUUGGUGCUUUGGAAAGUGUGAAAGCUGCUAGUGAACUCUAUUCUCCUUUAUCAGAAGUAACCGAAAUUAAUGAAGCUCUUGCAGAAAAUCCAGGACUUGUAAACAAAUCUUGUUAUGAAGAUGGUUGGCUGAUCAAGAUGACACUGAGUAAUCCUUCAUAACUAGAUGAACUUAUGAGGGAAGAAGCAUAUGAGAAAUACAUAAAAUCUAUUGAGGAGUGAAAAUGGAACCACUAUAAAUAAGCUAGUAUGAAAUAACGCAACCCAGCAGAGUUGUCCUAAAUUAGUGGUGGAUAGAAGACUUAGAAUAGCAACUUUUAGCAUUACCCAUGGGAAAAAAAAACUACUGUUAACACUGUUAAUGAAAGAAGAUGCCUUUUAACUUUCUAAUGAUUGUAGAUAAACAUAAUACGUGUCUUUUUCACAAUAUCCUAUGAUUUUUAGACUAGGCUCUAGUAUUCAGAAUUCGUGAAAUUAUCCAUGGUAAAAAUUAGUUAUAAAAAUUACAUAAUUCAAAGAUAAUGUUGUUAUUCUUAAGCCUUAUAUAAUAUUGUAACUUGUGUAUGUCCAUACCUGGAUUUGGGAUGAAAUACUUAAUGAUCUUUCCAUUGGAAAUAACUGGGAAUGAAGAAGUUUUUGUUGCUUGUACAGUGUCAGAUGAAGAACAACACUAUCUUAAUUUUGCAAUACACUACAUUUGCUGGUGCUAUUUUUAUACAGUGAAGCAACAGCUUUGCAGCAAAAUAAUAAAAUACUUCGUUUAAAAAAAAAAAAAGAAAAGAAAUUUACUUCUUACAAUUCUGGAGGCCAGGCAGUCCAUGAUCAGGUGCCAGCAUCUGGAAAGGGCCUUCUUGCUGUCCUCCCAUGGCAGAAGAUGGAAGGGCAGGGGAGAGCUAACAUGCUCCUGCAAGCUCUUUUUAUAAUGGCAUCAAUCAAAUAUGAGGCCAGAAUCCUUGUGACCUAAUCAUCUCCUAGAAGGCUCCACCUCCCAACCCUGUUGCAUUGGGAUUAAGUUUCCAACACACGAAUUUUGGAGACAACACAUUCAAAACAUAGCAUUCCACACCUUGGGCUCCCCAGAUUCAUGUCCUCACAUGCAAAAUAAAUUCAUUCCAUCCCAAUAGCCCCCAAAAAGUCUUAACUUGUUCCAGCAUCAACUUUAAAGUCAAAGUCCAAAGUUUCAUCUAAAUCAGAUAUGAGUGAGACUCAAGGCAUGAUUCAUCAUGAGACAAAGGAUGUACAUUUGCAAUGUUAUGUCAGACAAAACAAAAAUAUGUAAAUAUCCAUCAAUAGGGAACUGCUUAAACAUUUUUUUGUAUAAUCAUAAAAUGAAACAUGCAGACGUUUAAUGAGCUAGAUCUCAACGUGCUGAUAUGGAAAGAGCUUCAGUAUGUAUUAAGGACAUAAAUUAAGUGUACAAUAAUGUGUGUGUGUAUAUAUGUAUAUGCUUAUGUGUGUAUGGAAAGUAUCUCAGCAGAUACAAUAAAAACUUAAUUGUGAUUACCCCUGGAUCAAUUAAUUAACAUGUGGUAUAGUAUAAGGAAAUGAAUUUUAUACCUUGAUCAAACAUUUGAAAAAUUUUACAAUAUAUUGCUUUAUAAUUUUU
This is an RNA transcript of Nomascus leucogenys (northern white-cheeked gibbon), 1944 nucleotides long. It is a transcript of the gene named glycine cleavage system H protein, mitochondrial pseudogene, with no coding region annotated. NCBI's taxonomy places the organism in Eukaryota, Metazoa, Chordata, Mammalia, Primates, Hylobatidae. The record is from RefSeq and is a predicted model, not a curated record. The transcript has a single exon.